GGGAAUGAUUAGGAGGCUGGUGCCCCUCGCGGUCUUCAACACCGUUGUCCUGCUGAUAAAGUAGGAGGUGAGUUCGAUUCUCACGCGUUCCCG
RNAcentral lists this transfer RNA (93 nucleotides) under Fidelibacterota bacterium. Its description in RNAcentral is "tRNA-Sec". It matches the Rfam family "Selenocysteine transfer RNA". Lineage: Bacteria; Pseudomonadati; Fidelibacterota. The record is from RNAcentral.